Molecule: ribosomal RNA, 253 nt
Filed under: uncultured bacterium
Lineage: Bacteria
Description: partial 16S ribosomal RNA
Rfam family: Bacterial small subunit ribosomal RNA
Source: RNAcentral
UACGGGGGGGGCAAGCGUUGUUCGGAAUUACUGGGCGUAAAGGGCUCGUAGGUGGCCAACUAAGUCAGACGUGAAAUCCCCCGGCUCAACCUGGGAACUGCGUCUGAUACUGGAAGGCUAGAGUUUGGGAGAGGGAUGUAGAAUUCCAGGUGUAGCGGUGAAAUGCGUAGAUAUCUGGAGGAAUACCGGUGGCGAAGGCGGCAUCCUGGACCAAUACUGACGCUGAGGCGCGAAAGCUAGGGGAGCAAACGGG